CGUAGGCGCAAGCGUUAUCCGGAAUUAUUGGGCGUAAAGAGCUCGUAGGCGGUUUGUCGCGUCUGCUGUGAAAGCCCGGGGCUUAACCCGGGUCUGCAGUGGGUACGGGCAGACUGGAGUGCAGUAGGGGAGACUGGAAUUCCUGGUGUAGCGGUGAAAUGCGCAGAUAUCAGGAGGAACACCGAUGGCGAAGGCAGGUCUCUGGGCUGUUACUGACGCUGAGGAGCGAAAGCAUGGGGAGCGAACAGGAUU
This 252-nucleotide ribosomal RNA is filed under the name uncultured bacterium. RNAcentral describes it as "partial 16S ribosomal RNA". It matches the Rfam family "Bacterial small subunit ribosomal RNA", at positions 526 to 779 of the family's 1533-position model. The record is from RNAcentral.